Molecule: non-coding RNA, 65 nt
Organism: Dipodomys ordii (Ord's kangaroo rat)
Lineage: Eukaryota; Metazoa; Chordata; Mammalia; Rodentia; Heteromyidae
Source: Rfam
GGUGGCUCAGUGGUAGAGCGCAUGCCUUGCAUACCUGAGGCCCUGGGUUCAAUUCCUCAGCACCA